GUCUAUGGCCAUGCUACCCAGAACAUGCCCGAUCCUGUCUGAUCUCACAAGCUAAGCAGAGUUGGGCCUGGUUAGUACUUGGAUGGGAGACCAGGUGCUGUAGACG
This 106-nucleotide ribosomal RNA is filed under the name Pteropus alecto (black flying fox). Lineage: Eukaryota; Metazoa; Chordata; Mammalia; Chiroptera; Pteropodidae. The record is from RNAcentral.